Molecule: ribosomal RNA, 253 nt
Filed under: uncultured bacterium
Lineage: Bacteria
Description: partial 16S ribosomal RNA
Rfam family: Bacterial small subunit ribosomal RNA
Source: RNAcentral
UACGUAGGGGGCUAGCGUUGUCCGGAUUUAUUGGGCGUAAAGAGCGUGUAGGCGGCCAUGUAGGUCCGGUGUGAAAACUCGAGGCUUAACCUCGAGAUGUCAUCGGAAACCAUUUGGCUAGAGUCCGGAAGAGGAGAGUGGAAUUCCUGGUGUAGCGGUGAAAUGCGCAGAUAUCAGGAAGAACACCAAUGGCGAAAGCAGCUCUCUGGGACGGUACUGACGCUGAGGAGCGAAAGCGUGGGGAGCAAACAGG